UCUUUUUUCAUUGAGGAAGGAGAAGUCGUAACAAGGCUUUMGCGYAGRCUGAWCMUAGCGGAAGGAGGUYAUUGUYUGRARSCUGSCKAGCAGAGCAACCMGSGAACWAKUGAWAACAUACCCGGGUAGAACGAGGAGGGGCGCACGCCCCCGAUCGCCUGCCCGUCGGACCACGGCCCCUCUACAAACGCAAUGAUUUGCGGGCGGAGGGUGGGUUGCUGUGUCCGGGCAAAACCAAAAACCGGCGCGACAGGCGCCAAGGAAAUCUUARCGGAAAAAGAGGGUUGCCCCGUUUGCGGAGGCAGCCUUUGGAAUCCGAUACUCGAACGACUCUCGGCAACGGAUAUCUCGGCUCUUGCAUCGAUGAARAACGUAGCGAAAUGCGAUACUUGGUGUGAAUUGCAGAAUCCCGUGAACCAUCGAGUCUUUGAACGCAAGUUGCGCCCGAGGCCAUUAGGUCGAGGGCACGUCUGCCUGGGCGUCACACACAGCGUCGCACCCCUCCAACAAGGUUUGUUGGGGAGCGGAUAUUGGCCCCCCGGGCCCUUGCGGGCACGGUCGGCACAAAUGUUGGUCCCCGACAACGAGCGUCGCGGUCAGUGGUGGUUGUAUUUCUCAUCCUCCAAAGACAUCAAGACGCGUCGUCCUCGUUGCUCGUUGGGACGCAUCCACCCUAUGGAGCCGUUUUGUGCGGCAUUCACCCUGCGACCCCAGGUCAGGCGGGAUCACCCGCUGAGUUUAAGCAUAUCAUAACCGGGGGGGGC
This 764-nucleotide ribosomal RNA is filed under the name Aconitum barbatum. RNAcentral's name for it is "eukaryotic LSU rRNA". The stretch from base 329 to 484 matches the Rfam family "5.8S ribosomal RNA". Lineage: Eukaryota; Viridiplantae; Streptophyta; Magnoliopsida; Ranunculales; Ranunculaceae. The record is from RNAcentral.